Molecule: ribosomal RNA, 468 nt
Filed under: uncultured bacterium
Lineage: Bacteria
Description: partial 16S ribosomal RNA
Rfam family: Bacterial small subunit ribosomal RNA
Source: RNAcentral
GACGAACGCUGGCGGCGUGCUUAACACAUGCAAGUCGAACGGAAAGGCCCUGCUUUUGUGGGGUGCUCGAGUGGCGAGCGGGUGAGUAACACGCGAGUAACCUGCCCUUGACUUUGGGAUAACUUCAGGAAACUGGGGCUAAUACCGGAUAGGAGCUCCUGCUGCAUGGUGGGGGUUGGAAAGUUUCGGCGGUUGGGGAUGGACUCGCGGCUUAUCAGCUUGUUGGUGGGGUAGUGGCUUACCAAGGCUUUGACGGGUAGCCGGCCUGAGAGGGUGACCGGCCACAUUGGGACUGAGAUACGGCCCAGACUCCUACGGGAGGCAGCAGUGGGGAAUAUUGCACAAUGGGCGGAAGCCUGAUGCAGCAACGCCGCGUGCGGGAUGACGGCCUUCGGGUUGUAAACCGCUUUCGCCUGUGACGAAGCGUGAGUGACGGUAAUGGGUAAAGAAGCACCGGCUAACUACGUG